This 492-nucleotide ribosomal RNA is filed under the name uncultured bacterium. RNAcentral describes it as "partial 16S ribosomal RNA". It matches the Rfam family "Bacterial small subunit ribosomal RNA", at positions 29 to 507 of the family's 1533-position model. The record is from RNAcentral.
AGUGAACGCUGGCGGUAGGCCUAACACAUGCAAGUCGAACGGCAGCACAGUAAGAGCUUGCUCUUACGGGUGGCGAGUGGCGGACGGGUGAGGAAUACAUCGGAAUCUACUUUUUCGUGGGGGAUAACGUAAGGAAACUUACGCUAAUACCGCAUACGACCUACGGGUGAAAGCAGGGGAUCUUCGGACCUUGCGCGAUUGAAUGAGCCGAUGUCGGAUUAGCUAGUUGGCGGGGUAAAGGCCCACCAAGGCGACGAUCCGUAGCUGGUCUGAGAGGAUGAUCAGCCACACUGGAACUGAGACACGGUCCAGACUCCUACGGGAGGAAGCAGUGGGGAAUAUUGGACAAUGGGCGCAAGCCUGAUCCAGCCAUACCGCGUGGGUGAAGAAGGCCUUCGGGUUGUAAAGCCCUUUUGUUGGGAAAGAAAAGCAGCAGGUUAAUACCCCGCUGUUCUGACGGUACCCAAAGAAUAAGCACCGGCUAACUUCGUG